Molecule: ribosomal RNA, 491 nt
Filed under: uncultured Sebacinaceae
Lineage: Eukaryota; Fungi; Basidiomycota; Agaricomycetes; Sebacinales; Sebacinaceae
Description: eukaryotic LSU rRNA
Rfam family: 5.8S ribosomal RNA (bases 102-255)
Source: RNAcentral
CCCUGUGAACCUUUGGCCUCUUGCUAGCCUUGGCCGGCAGAGGAAUUUUUACACCCACUCGAAUGUAAUGAAAUUAUUGUUGUGCGUAAGCACUAAUGUACAACUUUCAACAACGGAUCUCUUGGCUCUCGCAUCGAUGAAGAACGCAGCGAAAUGCGAUAAGUAAUGUGAAUUGCAGAAUUCAGUGAAUCAUCGAAUCUUUGAACGCACCUUGCACCCUUUGGCAUUCCGAAGGGUAUGCUCGUUUGAGUGUCAUUGUACUCUCACACUUCUGAUCUUUUGGAUUGGGAGCGGUGGACUUGGGUGUUGCUGCUUUGCGGUGGCUCGCCUCAAAUGCAUUAGUGCAACUCUUGGUUAGACAUAGUACGGCGUGAUAAGUAUCUUCGCCGGCACCUCGCAAGAGGGUGGCUGAUCAGGAGCUCUGUGCUUCCAACAGUCUGUAUUCAGACAACAACUGACAACUUGACCUCAAAUCGAGUAGGACCACCCGC